GAUGAACGCUAGCGGCAGGCCUAACACAUGCAAGUCGAGGGGCAGCAUAAGGAGUACUUCGGUACUUUUGAUGGCGACCGGCGGACGGGUGCGUAACGCGUAUACAACCUACCUUUUACAGGGGGAUAACGUUUGGAAACGAACACUAAUACCCCAUAACAUCAUACAGGGCAUCCUGUGUGGUUGAAAACUCCGGUGGUAAGAGAUGGGUAUGCGUUGUAUUAGAUAGUUGGUGAGGUAACGGCUCACCAAGUCGACGAUACAUAGGGGGACUGAGAGGUUAGCCCCCCACACUGGUACUGAGACACGGACCAGACUCCUACGGGAGGCAGCAGUGAGGAAUAUUGGUCAAUGGGCGCAAGCCUGAACCAGCCAUGCCGCGUGCAGGAAGACGGCUCUAUGAGUUGUAAACUGCUUUUACACAGGGAUAAUUCAUGAUACGAGUAUCAUGUUGAAGGUACUGUGGGAAUAAGGAUCGGCUAACUCCGUGCCAGCAGCCGCGGUAAUACGGAGGAUCCAAGCGUUAUCCGGAUUUAUUGGGUUUAAAGGGUGCGCAGACGGCGCAGUAAGUUAUAGGUGAAAUAUCGGUGCUUAACAUCGAAACUGCCUGUGAUACUGCUGUGCUCGAGACCAGUUGCGGAAGGCGGAAUGUGUGGUGUAGCGGUGAAAUGCUUAGAUAUCACACAGAACCCCGAUUGCGAAGGCAGCUUUCCAAGCUGGAUCUGACGUUGAGGCACGAAAGCGUGGGUAGCGAACAGGAUUAGAUACCCUGGUAGUCCACGCUGUAAACGAUGAUUACUCGUUGUCGGCGAUAUACAGUCGGUGACUAAGCGAAAGCGAUAAGUAAUCCACCUGGGGAGUACGUUCGCAAGAAUGAAACUCAAAGGAAUUGACGG
Molecule: ribosomal RNA, 896 nt
Filed under: uncultured bacterium
Lineage: Bacteria
Description: bacterial SSU rRNA
Rfam family: Bacterial small subunit ribosomal RNA
Source: RNAcentral